UACGUAGGGUGCAAGCGUUGUCCGGAAUUAUUGGGCGUAAAGAGCUCGUAGGCGGUUUGUCGCGUCUGCUGUGAAAACCCAGGGCUUAACCCUGGGCUUGCAGUGGGUACGGGCAGACUAGAGUGCGGUAGGGGAGAUCGGAAUUCCUGGUGUAGCGGUGAAAUGCGCAGAUAUCAGGAGGAACACCGGUGGCGAAGGCGGAUCUCUGGGCCGUAACUGACGCUGAGGAGCGGAAGCGUGGGGAGCGAACAGG
Molecule: ribosomal RNA, 253 nt
Filed under: uncultured bacterium
Lineage: Bacteria
Description: partial 16S ribosomal RNA
Rfam family: Bacterial small subunit ribosomal RNA
Source: RNAcentral